GAUGAACGCUAGCGGGAGGCCUAACACAUGCAAGCCGAGCGGUAUUGUUUCUUCGGAAAUGAGAGAGCGGCGUACGGGUGCGUAACACGUGUGCAACCUGCCUUUAUCUGGGGGAUAGCCUUUCGAAAGGAAGAUUAAUACUCCAUAAUAUAUUGAACGGCAUCGUUUAAUAUUGAAAGCUCCGGCGGAUAGAGAUGGGCACGCGCAAGAUUAGCUAGUUGGUGAGGUAACGGCUCACCAAGGCGAUGAUCUUUAGGGGGCCUGAGAGGGUGAUCCCCCACACUGGUACUGAGACACGGACCAGACUCCUACGGGAGGCAGCAGUGAGGAAUAUUGGUCAAUGGGUGCAAGCCUGAACCAGCCAUCCCGCGUGAAGGACGACUGCCCUAUGGGUUGUAAACUUCUUUUGUAUAGGGAAAAACCUACCCUCGUGAGGGUAGCUGAAGGUACUAUACGAAUAAGCAUCGGCUAACUCCGUGCCAGCCGCCGCAGUAA
Molecule: ribosomal RNA, 495 nt
Filed under: uncultured bacterium
Lineage: Bacteria
Description: partial 16S ribosomal RNA
Rfam family: Bacterial small subunit ribosomal RNA
Source: RNAcentral